Non-coding RNA from Triticum urartu, 136 nucleotides. The record is from Rfam. Lineage: Eukaryota; Viridiplantae; Streptophyta; Magnoliopsida; Poales; Poaceae.
UAAUUACUCCCUCCGUUUAGAAAUACUUGUCAUCAAAAUGAAUAAAAAGAAGAUCUAUCUAGAUGUAUUUUAGUUCUAGAUAUAUCUCUCUUUGUCCAUUUUGAUGACAAGUAUUUUCAGACGGAGGGAGUACCAU